UUAAUGGAGAGUUUGAUCCUGGCUCAGGACGAACGCUGGCGGCGUGCCUAAUACAUGCAAGUCGAGCGGACCCUUCGGGGUUAGCGGCGGACGGGUGAGUAACACGUAGGCAACCUGCCUGUAAGACUGGGAUAACUACCGGAAACGGUAGCUAAGACCGGAUAAGUGAUUCUCUCGCAUGAGAGAAUCAAGAAACACGGGGCAACCUGUGG
RNAcentral lists this non-coding RNA (212 nucleotides) under Paenibacillus tyrphae. RNAcentral's name for it is "Paenibacillus tyrfis Bacterial small subunit ribosomal RNA". It matches the Rfam family "Bacterial small subunit ribosomal RNA", at positions 1 to 217 of the family's 1533-position model. Lineage: Bacteria; Bacillati; Bacillota; Bacilli; Caryophanales; Paenibacillaceae. The record is from Rfam by way of RNAcentral.